Molecule: long non-coding RNA, 388 nt
Filed under: Capsicum annuum
Lineage: Eukaryota; Viridiplantae; Streptophyta; Magnoliopsida; Solanales; Solanaceae
Description: long non-coding RNA (CANN_LNC022177)
Source: RNAcentral
AACAACACAAUAAUAUAAAAUCUCAACCUCAAUUCCAUAAAAUUCUCCUUCGCUCACUAGGUGACCCAAAAAGCCCUCAAUUGCCAGAUUGCCUGAGUUCAGGGCGGACGAAAUCAGCAUCUGCUGGUACAGAAAUAUCAACUGUGGGUCUCAGUUGAGCACAAACUUCAAUAGCUCCAUGCACAGGAUCUGCAAGGAAGUUGCUGAUGAGAUCCCGAUUGAUAGGGGCAUUAUUAUCCACAGCUACCAGUGCUUGUUGGGUGAGAUUGUAAUCAAAUCGAGGGGCCCACUUCCUGGAACCUAAACGUGCUGUUGUAGAGCAAUUGUCAACCAUGAAUGAUACUCCCCGAGCAUGCAUGAAUGGAUUCAAGGAAUCUACAGACUCGAU